AUGAAGGUAAAAAUAGCAAGUGUAGCUGACUGUAAAUGUGUAUUCUCUAAAGAGAAGGUGGUUUUCAGUGCUUGUUCAGGAGACAAACUUUAUUUGGCUGACAUGGAGCUGCAUCGAUAUAUACUUGCAGAAAAAUCUACAUGUGUGAUUAAGGAUAAAGAGGCUAUUAUUGUUCUUGUGAAAGAGAAAAAAGGAGCAUGGUGCAAAUUACUGAAGAACAAGGUGAAGUGGAAAUUAAUUUGAGAGUUACUGAAUUCACUGUGUGUCAGUGCAGGUAUUUCAAAUAAUGUUUUUGUCAACAGAAUCCUCACGUCUCUCUUGAUUUUGAACACUGGGAAGAUUUUGAAGAUAAAAGCCCUUUUCCAGUUGGUAAGGAAUGAAUGAAUCAGUAUUUAUAAUGCAUAAAAUGAUUAGCAUCCUUAUUUUUGCAUAGGCUAUAUUUGAAACAAUUGUUUAUUUCAGAUAUGUGUCACUUGGCUAGCUUGCUCAAAUUCUCUGAAAACACAUGAGAGGACCCCCAAUAGUGAACUGGAGGCAGUAGGGUAUUUUUCUAUCACAAUAGCACAGACAAAAAGCAGCUUGAAGUAGUUUUUAAGUGUUUUGGUCUGGUUUGUAGUCUAAAGUGUGGGAUGUUAUCUUGGUUUAGAUUUUCUUAAUACUACUACAUAUUUGUUCUGAAGCUCUUGUUUUUUCUUGCUUUAUAAAUGUUACUUUGCUAAUUACUUCUAGGUACUAAAAAACUGUAUUGUCCUGCUGCAGUAGUGGAAGAAUUAGUUGAGUCCUCAGAAGACAGUGAAACAGAAAGUGAUGAGUAAUUUGUAGACAGAUCUUUUUCCUCUGAUAAGGAUUAUGCUUCAAAAUAGUGUGUCUUGCAUGAGUUUUUUCCACUAAAAUUGAUGAAACUAAACAUGUAGGUUGCAGAACUGUCCUUAAUUUUAGGAGGAAAAUGGCGAACCAGCUCCUUAGCUUUGGGCUCUGACAAUCUAAAGAAACCCUCCAUAGAAGAACAUUGUGUAUGUUUUCCAGUGCCUUCACUUUAAAAUUGUUGGCUUUAAUGAUGAUGUGCAUAUAUGUAUGUGUGCUUUCCAAACACAUCUAAAGAUUUAAACUUGGGUUAUGAAGCAGUUGAAUUCAUUAGUGAUUACAGAGCUUCUAGUUUACUUUAUCUGAGGGAAUUUGCUGUGUUAGCGAUAGUUAGUAAUUUUUGAAGUUUCACAAAUCCUAAUGAUCUGUGGGUUGUUUCUACGAUAACCUUUGCAUUCACACAGGAUCAGGUUGUUGGCAAUCAUGACACUUAUCAGUUCUGCAUCAAGAAAUAACGCCUCAACUCCAGUGGCAAUUUUUUUCACUAGAUUGGGAACAUGUUGACUUGGUAUGAAAUACUGUACAGUGCAGCUCACUGUAGUAACUAACUGCUGUACAGCUUUUGUGGAACGAGCACUGUGAUAGUAGAUUCGGUAUUUGUUUUCAGUUUGACAUUUCCACUUUUCAUGAAUGCUCUUAUUUCAUUACUUCUCAUUUCAUGUAUCUAAAACUUUUCUUGUUUGCAAAUGAACAAUAAAAUUUUGUCUGUUUAGCGCUAAGGCUUUGCCUUUUAAUAUACCGUCUU
Accipiter nisus (Eurasian sparrowhawk) is the source of this 1609-nucleotide long non-coding RNA. The record is from Ensembl. Lineage: Eukaryota; Metazoa; Chordata; Aves; Accipitriformes; Accipitridae.